Long non-coding RNA from Triticum aestivum (bread wheat), 438 nucleotides. RefSeq lists it as uncharacterized. The record is from RefSeq and is a predicted model, not a curated record. The transcript has 2 exons. Lineage: Eukaryota; Viridiplantae; Streptophyta; Magnoliopsida; Poales; Poaceae.
CCCGACGAUCUUCUCACUGCUGGAGAUGCUAAGGUGGAGCCAGGGGCUAUCCUGUUAAUGGAUCAAGAUAAUCACGACGAACCUUAUGCAAAGAACUUUCCCACAUGGAGAGUGGAGAUCAUUGUCUCAUGUAAGGAAUCUCCCAAUGUUUUUCUGCCACUAAGGUUGAAGGAUGUUAAUCAUGAUGAUAAGGCAGACAUUGGGAGAGAUCUCAAGACGCAUGUGCCAUCAUGCACAUUACUAAUGCAAAGGAGACUAAAGUCAAAACUAUUGGAUUUAUUCCACUAGCUUUUGGAGAUGACUUAAUUUUUCCAUCUUAUUGAUGAUAUUUUGUUCAUGCUCCUAGUUAUUGGAGAACCUUAACUCUCAAACAGAUGAGGUGAUUUUGUAUGUUAUUAAGUCAACUCCAAUUAUGUAAUGUUAGUCCCACCUUGGUGA